Molecule: unclassified non-coding RNA, 1564 nt
Filed under: Dermacentor andersoni
Lineage: Eukaryota; Metazoa; Arthropoda; Arachnida; Ixodida; Ixodidae
Description: uncharacterized LOC126534061
Source: RNAcentral
UGCACCGCAACAGUAAUGGCUGAGAACUGUUCAAGAAACGGCUUGCAAUUCAGCUCGCGCCCGCGAAAUUAGCAAAAAGUAUCAUAUGGAAAAAAGUCACAGCUGAAGCUUUGUCUUUAGCACAACGGGACCUCUGGCAUGAAGAUCUAGAGCAUGACGUACGAAAACAUUUUCGCAGCCAUUCUCAUUUCCAUUAUUUUCACAGUCGCAAGUACACAAUUCCUCGAGAACAUACCCCAGUCCGUGGGAUAUCAGGCUGUUUGUCUCAAGGGGGCAACCAAUAUGGACCUACAACACUACGGAACGUACAGACAAAACCUGCAAGGUGGAUCUUGUGCGACGUGCCACCACAUUGUAUCUGAGAUUCAACCGAUCAUACGACUGCCAUGAACAAAGGCCAAAUAUUCAAAUGCUGGGACGAUUUGAUUUAAGUAACAGGGCUGAGGUCAGGAUCGGCCGUGUAGGUAGACGUUAUUACGACCUCCGAGUGAAGAAUUCCUCCGUAGAAGCUGGACCUCACGCGGACUGCAGAAGGGAGUUCUGUCGGCUCACACAGCAUGGAACAGUUCUUUAUCAGCCAAUUUGUCAGAGAAGACUUAGACUAUAAUUGAAUUACCUUUGCCAAUAUUUCAGUGCAGCGUUGAAGUGCGAUGGGGGCGAUAUGCGAAAACACCCGUGGUGCUUAGAUUUAGUUGCACGUUAAAGAACCCCAGGUGGUCUAAAUUUCCGGAGUCCUCCACUAUGGCGUGCCUCAUAAACAGAAAGUGGUCUUGGCACGUUAAACCCCACAAUUUAAUUUGCGUUGAAGAGCAAGCCUUCAAUGUGCGAGCAUGGUACUGUUCUUGGCAUUGAUACGUUUACAUAAAAUUGCAAGCAAAUAAAGAACCGAAGCGCUGCGUAAUGCCAGUGGAGUUACAUUGAUAUCUAGGCAAUAAUAGUUUGAGCCAGCGUCUUGCGACAAUCAAAGAUCGGAUCCACAGUUGAUGCAUUUAGUUGCGGCCUCAGAAAAAAAACUGUGUUAUGACGAGGGAUGUGGUAAAGUGAAUACUCUUAUCAACUUCGGUGAAUCUGCUCGAUUUUCUUCUUGCCAGGAAAAGUUGGUAGAGCCAGGUAAGCAGGGCCUAUGGCGGGGAUGGCAAAUGGCUAAAUGAGGUGGUACAUAGACGGCAAGCUGUGUCGGUUCCGCCAACAGUGGAUUUCGCUCUCGUGUGGGUCACAUAGAACACACGGUAGCUCUCUCCAUGUUUUUCCGCAUAGCCAGGUAGGCACGUUAUCUAGCCGCCCCCUCCUACUUUGAGCGUUGGUAUAUUGGUUGGUGACACCAGAGACUGCCACCACUGCCCCCUUUCCCGUACGCUGUAUUUCUUCUCCACCGAAAUUUCCCCACACACACAUUUCGUGACUACAGCGUUUGCUACUUCCAGCGUCGAAACUUCCUGGCAUACAAACACAUUAUGGUCUUUGUCACUGUGCUAAAGAAACUAGAAAGUGAGCCUAACUUUUGCUAAUAAAGCGAACUAGAGGAAAGCUUGGCUUCCUUCCUUAAAAUGAUGAUACGGCUUGA